CUUCUUCUCACUUAUUUUCUAGAUCCGGCGCAGUCUGGUUUCAGGCCGGGGCAUGGUUCUGAGACAGCCUUGGUCACCUUAGUCGAUGAUCUACGCCGGAAACUGGACAGGGGGAGUGUGUCCCUGCUGGUUCUGCUGGACCUCUCAGCGGCCUUCGAUACCGUCUAUCACAGUAUCCUUCUGGGGCACCUUGCCGGAAUGGGUCUCGAGGAUUUUGGAUUUUUAAGCCUGAGACAUGGGCCAAAGCUGGCUGCAGAUCUCCCCAACCCGUCUACCCUUACACAAUGGUCGAAGCCAGAGGAAAAGUGUUUUCAGAACACUUUCAGAGAGGCUUUGUGGGAUUUUGCUGGAAAUACCCAUUUGUAUUUCAAAUAUGUGACAAGAAACUACGUGUGAAACUGAGUGCUGUGGGAGAGAAUGGCUGCAGUUCAACAUUCUUUCAGUAGGGUUGCUGUGAAUUUUCCGGGCUGUAUGGCCAUGUUCCAGAAAUGUUCUCUCCUGAUGUUUCACCCACAUCUAUGGCAAGAAUACUCUUUUGGCCUCGCCUACUUUGCCAGUCCCUCCUACCUCCCAUUGUGCAAGCCUAUGUGAUGUUCACAUCAGCAAAGGUUCCUUGCCCUUGAUCUAAUCCAGUGAUCCCCAAACUUGGGUCCUCCAGCUGUUUGGGACUUCAGGUUGGCUAACACUCAGGAAUUCUGGGAGCUGACGUCCUAAAUGUCUAAAUUUGUAAAAGCCUGCUAUAAUCCUUUCCACGUAAGCAGUAAAGUUUGAAUCCCACACAUUCCUAACAUGAUGGAAAAAAGGGCACCAAAUCCAUGCCCCAGAAACUUCUGAAAACACCUGUGUGAUCUACAAGGUGAGAAAGUGUGAAUAGGGACUGAAGAUGAAAGCAGGUGAAGAGGAAGAACUCCAUCAGGAUCUAAAGAGAAAGGGGAAAAGAUAGGUGCAGAAUGGAAUUAGGUGGGAAGCAAGAGAAGUUGAUGAGGGUGAUUUUUGGUACAUACAUUCAGUUAGAAAACAAAAUCUUCACUAGAAUGGGAUAGAGAUACAUAGAAUUUACAUAUGAAUAGGCAGCACAUUUAGAAAUAAUAGCUAUAUAGCAGUGGUUCCCAACCUGUGGUCUGUGGACCACCAGUGGUCAGCAAGAACUAAAAUAUGGUCCAUGACCUCACCAUUACUAUUACAGAUAAUAACACAGCACAACCAAAAAAAUUGUUCUUAGAGGGUGGGAGGAACCCUCUUCAUUGACCGGAGUUCAGGGUUGAGACCCCUGGUCACUGUGCCUUUAUGUCUCAUUUCUGUACUUCAAAAGGUAACCUGGCUCUUUUAGAUUGGGUUGCCUGUUUUUUGUUUUGUUUUGUUUUUUGUUCUUUUGCUGUCCUGCUAUCUUAGCUUCAUAUUACCAAAGGGAAAAACACAUCUGCAGAUGAAUCAGUUGUGUCUAUUGUACUAUAUGUACUAGAUGAGAAUGACAGUCCAACUGUUAUGAAUAAAAAACACUAACCUGCUGAUUUGUGACGUGUUUACAUCCCAGCAUCAGCAAUGAUACACAGCUUGCCUUUUUUUGCUACUCAUUUACAAGCAGCAGGUCUCUACUUCGGGAGCCAACCAAUUAAGCCAGAGAGAGGCUGGUAUCUAGGUCCAGUCUAUUUCUGCUUAAAGGGAGACUGACUAUGGGCUACAGAGUUUGGGAUUAUUUUCUGCCUGUAAUGAUAGCCGCUUUUUCCAAAACGAGUUAAGUCAAUAGCCAUUACGCAUUUUCCGAAGUGAAUAUUUGAACAAUUAUUGGUGAAGCUGCUCCAGAAACAGAUUCUGUUAUUGUAGAGGUACAGAUGCCAGCCAAUAUUGCAAAACCUUCCAUGUCUGCUUUUAAUUCUCAUAGUCUUAGUUGUUUGGAACUUGUCUAAAAGCUCCUUGUAUCCAUGCAACUCCAUUCUUGGACAUAUUGCUGCUAAGUAAAUCAGAUUGCUAGCAAAAGGUUUGCCAUCUGCUUGAUCUUGAUUGACUUCGUUUUUUCAUAAUAGGGAAAGUACAACGUCCCUAUUAAAACAGCUCCACUGGCUUCCAAUAAGUAGCUGGGACCAAUUUAAGGUGCAGGUUAUGACCUAUAAAGUUCUAAAUCAGUGAUUCCAAAAGUGGGUGCU
Long non-coding RNA from Anolis carolinensis (green anole), 2144 nucleotides. The record is from Ensembl. NCBI's taxonomy places the organism in Eukaryota, Metazoa, Chordata, Lepidosauria, Squamata, Anolidae.